Molecule: ribosomal RNA, 260 nt
Filed under: uncultured bacterium
Lineage: Bacteria
Description: partial 16S ribosomal RNA
Rfam family: Bacterial small subunit ribosomal RNA
Source: RNAcentral
GUCCACGCCCUAAACGAUGUAAACUCGACAUUAGCGAUAUACUGUUAGUGUCCAAGCGAAAGCGUUAAGUUUACCACCUGGGAAGUACGUCCGCAAGGAUGAAACUCAAAGGAAUUGGCGGGGUCCGCACAAGCGGUGGAGCAUGUGGUUUAAUUCGAUGAUACGCGAGGAACCUUACCUGGGCUAGAAUGUAGUUUGACCGAUCCUGAAAGGGGUCUUUGUAGCAAUACACAGAUUACAAGGUGCUGCAUGGUUGUCGU